UACGGAGGAUCCAAGCGUUAUCCGGAUUUAUUGGGUUUAAAGGGUGCGUAGGCGGCCUAUUAAGUCAGUGGUGAAAGCCUGGAGCUUAACUCCAGAACUGCCAUUGAUACUGAUGGGCUUGAGUACAGUUGAGGUUGGCGGAAUUGACGGUGUAGCGGUGAAAUGCUUAGAUAUCGUCAAGAACACCGAUAGCGAAGGCAGCUUACUAGGCUGUAAACUGACGCUGAGGCACGAAAGUGUGGGGAUCAAACAGG
Molecule: ribosomal RNA, 254 nt
Filed under: uncultured bacterium
Lineage: Bacteria
Description: partial 16S ribosomal RNA
Rfam family: Bacterial small subunit ribosomal RNA
Source: RNAcentral